GCAUAUCAAUAAGCGGAGGAAAAGAAACCAACAGGGAUUGCCCCAGUAACGGCGAGUGAAGCGGCAACAGCUCAAAUUUGAAAUCUGGCCUUGGCCCGAGUUGUAAUUUGCAGAGGAUGCUUCUGGCGCGGUGCCUUCCGAGUUCCCUGGAACGGGACGCCAUAGAGGGUGAGAGCCCCGUAUGGUUGGAUACCUAGCCUGUGUGAAGCUCCUUCGACGAGUCGAGUAGUUUGGGAAUGCUGCUCAAAAUGGGAGGUAUAUCUCUUCUAAAGCUAAAUACCGGCCAGAGACCGAUAGCGCACAAGUAGAGUGAUCGAAAGAUGAAAAGCACCUUGAAAAGGGGGUUAAACAGCACGUGAAAUUGUUGAAAGGGAAGCGCCUAUGACCAGACUUGUGCCCGGCGGAUCACCCAGCGUUCUCGCUGGGGCACUCCGCCGGGUCCAGGCCAGCAUCGGUUUUCGCCGGGGGAUAAAGGCUCUGGGAACGUAGCUCCUCCGGGAGUGUUAUAGCCCUCUGCGUAAUACCCUGGCGGGGACCGAGGUACGCGCUCCGCAAGGAUGCUGGCGUAAUGGUCAUCAGCGACCCGUCUUGAAACACGGAUCAAGGAGUCGUCCAUUAGAGCGAGCGUUUGGGUGUUAAACCCGCACGCGUAAUGAAAGUGAACGUAGGUGAGAGCUUCGGCGCAUCAUCGACCGAUCCUGAUGUCCUCGGAUGGAUUUGAGUAUGAGUUUUACUGGACGGACCCGAAAGAUGGUGAACUAUGCCUGUAUAGGGUGAAGCCAGAGGAAACUCUGGUGGAGGCUCGCAGCGGUUCUGACGUGCAAAUCGAUCGUCAAAUAUGGGCAUGGGGGCGAAAGACUAAUCGAACCAUCUAGUAGCUGGUUACCGCCGAAGUUCCCCUC
This 902-nucleotide ribosomal RNA is filed under the name Phaeoacremonium hispanicum. RNAcentral describes it as "LSU rRNA". It matches the Rfam family "Eukaryotic large subunit ribosomal RNA", at positions 38 to 974 of the family's 3401-position model. The record is from RNAcentral. Lineage: Eukaryota; Fungi; Ascomycota; Sordariomycetes; Togniniales; Togniniaceae.